Molecule: ribosomal RNA, 380 nt
Filed under: uncultured bacterium
Lineage: Bacteria
Description: bacterial SSU rRNA
Rfam family: Bacterial small subunit ribosomal RNA
Source: RNAcentral
AGUAGCAAUACUUAGUGGCAGACGGGUGAGUAACAUGUAGGUAUCUGCCCUUUGGCCUGGAAUAACACGAGGAAACUUGUGCUAAUACCGGAUAAGUCUUUACGGAGAAAGCUUUAUGCACCAUUGGAUGAGCCUGCACUUGAUUAGUUUGUUGGUGGGGUAAUGGCCUACCAAGACUGUGAUCAAUAGCUGAUUUGAGAGGAUGAUCAGCCACAUUGGGACUGAGACACGGCCCAAACUCCUACGGGAGGCAGCAGUGGGGAAUCUUGCACAAUGGAGGAAACUCUGAUGCAGCGAUGCCGCGUGAGUGAAGAAGGCCCUUGGGUUGUAAAGCUCUUUCGUCGGGGAAGAAAAUGACUGUACCCGAAUAAGAAGGUCCG